This 1329-nucleotide long non-coding RNA is filed under the name Homo sapiens (human). RNAcentral's name for it is "HSALNT0321719". The record is from RNAcentral. Lineage: Eukaryota; Metazoa; Chordata; Mammalia; Primates; Hominidae.
GAGGCGUGGGUGUUCGGCUACGUCACUGGGGCCCUACGGUGCCUGGAGCUGGGCAGUCUUCUCGUCAGAGUGGGGACUGGUAAGAGCGACCUCCCCGCCAGGUCCUGUGUGUUGCCAGCCGAAGAAGGGUAGCUGAAAAAUUCAGACCCAGCACAGUGUUUAUGUUGGUCAAAAAUAGAAAACUAUGUCUGGCGCCGCCGAGGCGGGAGGACCCUUCAGGCCAAGAGCAGCCUAGCAACAUGGCGCAACCCCAUCUCUGUAGUCCUACCUCAGCUCCCCCCAGCUGAGGGGGGCUCAGCCCCCCAGCCCUCAAGUAUGAACCCAACGGUUCAAGGCUCCAGUGAGCUAUGAUCCCAUCACAGCAUUCCAGCCUGCGAGAUUGAGGACACAAAGACCAACGAGCCACCACAGCCACCAGUCCCAGAACCCGCUAAUGCUGGGGAACGGAAAAUGAGGGAGUUCAACUCUGGCCCUCACAAUCCAGUGGAGGAGACGAAACUCAUCUGCCUCUGUCCCUCUGGGCACGCCUCAUGCCAGGUGCAUCUGUGGACAGGGGCCAUGCUCCUGGGCUUCCAAAGUUGGAGAAAGCUGCCAGGCUCAGAGCCACCUAAGCUGAAGAUUCCCUUGAGAACAAGUACUGUCCUGCGGUUUCAUGGCCUUUCUUCCAUUUGUGGUUCUUGCGAAGUGGAAUUUAAAUGACAUCUUAUCAAGAUCGAUAAAUACUAGUUUCCCAGUGCUGGAAUAUAGAAAAUGGAUGGACAAGUAAAUCCCACUCAGCACCCAUAGUCCAGGCAUGGGGACCUCAACACACCUGAGCCCCAAACAUCACCUUUCAUUCUGGACCUACCAUGAAAGACUUCUGAAUCCAGGAAGAGAAACUGACUGGGCAACAUGUUAUUCAGAAACAGGACCUUGCCCUGUCACUCAGGAUGGAGUUCAAUGGUCCUAUCAUGGCUCAUUAUAGCCUUAAACUCCCAGGCUCAAGCAAUCCUACCAUGUCAGCCUUCCCAGUAGCUGGGACUACAGGAAGUGACCUCACAAUGACUCAAGCUACCACAUACUGUUGAUUGUGAAAUGCCAGUUGAAGCAUAUGUCCUGCGAGCUUAGGGGUGCUACAAGUUGACCACUGCAGCAGUAAAGAUGACUCUGAAGAAUGGCAUGGGAUGGAUCCUUUCGAAUGCACUUGAGCAGCGGUCUCCAACCACAGGGCCACAGAGCUGGAGCUGGAUCUACCAUGAAAGACUUCUGAAUCCAGGAAGAGAGACUGACUGGGCAACAUGUUAUUCAGGGUCUCCCUCUGUUGUCCAAGGCUGGAGUGUAGUAGUGCUA